GCCAGGUGCAGUGGUGCACACCUGUAAUCCCAGUGGCUUGGGAGGCUGAGACAGGAGGAUAGAAGUUCAAAGCCAGCCUUAGCAAUGGUGAGGCACUAAGCAACUUGGUGAGACCCUGUCUCUA
Molecule: small RNA, 124 nt
Filed under: Marmota monax (woodchuck)
Lineage: Eukaryota; Metazoa; Chordata; Mammalia; Rodentia; Sciuridae
Source: RNAcentral